CCUACGGGAGGCAGCAGUGAGGAAUAUUGGUCAAUGGGCGGGAGCCUGAACCAGCGAAGCCGCGUGAGGGAAGAAGGUACAGCGUAUCGUAAACCUCUUUUGUCAGGGAACAAAGGCGGGGACUAGUCCCCGGAUGAGGGUACCCGAAGAACAAGCAUCGGCUAGCUCCGUGCCAGCAGCCGCGGGAAUACGGAGGAUGCGAGCGUUAUCCGGAUUUAUUGGGGUUAAAGGGUGCGCAGGCUGCCUGUUAAGUCAGCGGGAAAAGCCCGGGGCUAAACCCCGGCGAGCCGUUGAAACUGGCGGGCUGGAGUGGGAGAGAGGUACGCGGAAUGCGCGGUGUAGCGGUGAAAUGCUUAGAUAUCGCGCAGAACCCCGAUUGCGAAGGCAGCGUACCGGCUCCACACUGACGCUGAGGCACGAAAGCGUGGGUAUCGAACAGGAUUAGAUACCCGUGUAGUC
This 459-nucleotide ribosomal RNA is filed under the name uncultured bacterium. Its description in RNAcentral is "partial 16S ribosomal RNA". It matches the Rfam family "Bacterial small subunit ribosomal RNA", at positions 338 to 795 of the family's 1533-position model. The record is from RNAcentral.